GAUGAACGCUGGCGGCGUGCCUAAUACAUGCAAGUCGAGCGAAGCGGGGACGGGUGAGCAACACGUGGAUAACCUCAUAUAAGACUGGGAUAACUUCGGGGAACCGGAGCUAAACCGGAAACUUAUAGAUGGAUCCGCGCUGCAUUAGCUAGUUGGUAAGGUAACGGCUUACCAAGGCAAAGAUGCAUAGCCGACCUGCGAGGGUGAUCGGCCAAACUGGAACUUAGACACGGUCCAGACUCCUACGGGAUGCAGCAGGAGGGAAUCUUCCGAAAUGGGCGAAAGCCUGACGGAGCAACGCCGCGUGGGUGAUGAAGGUCUUCGGAUCGUAAAACUCUGUUAUUAGGGAAUCGGUACCUAAUCAGAAAGCCACGGCUAACUACGUGCCAGCAGCCGCGGGAAUAC
RNAcentral lists this ribosomal RNA (405 nucleotides) under uncultured bacterium. RNAcentral's name for it is "partial 16S ribosomal RNA". It matches the Rfam family "Bacterial small subunit ribosomal RNA", at positions 28 to 526 of the family's 1533-position model. The record is from RNAcentral.